This is a long non-coding RNA of Alosa sapidissima (American shad), 386 nucleotides long. RefSeq lists it as uncharacterized. The record is from RefSeq and is a predicted model, not a curated record. NCBI's taxonomy places the organism in Eukaryota, Metazoa, Chordata, Actinopteri, Clupeiformes, Clupeidae. The transcript has 3 exons.
CAGUCAUCAACAACCUCAACAUGCCCCGUUGGCACAUGUAUCCAUACGUCUGAAUGGCUUUUGAACGUGGCUACUGAAUUAAUUUAAUUGAAACAAAAGACACCUGGAAUGUUCCUCUUGAGGAAUUGGAAAGAAUUGGUGGCGGUACAAUUCCACUACCAAUACUGGAAGACAUGAAGAACUAAUAUGAGCCAGUACGAAAUGUCUACGACGUCCUGAAUGAUGAAUAUUCUCAAUAUAGAUGGAUUGUUAGUAAGGAAAUGACAUCUAAUUUCUAUAGGCAUUUCUAUAUUCCACUUCCUUCAUGGCGUGAAUUAUGUUAUGAAAAGGAAUGAUCAGAUAUCAUGCAUCAUUCAUAUAAAAAUAAAUUGUGACAUUUUUGUUUA